CCUACGGGAGGCAGCAGUGGGGAAUAUUGGACAAUGGGCGCAAGCCUGAUCCAGCCAUACCGCGUGGGUGAAGAAGGCCUUCGGGUUGUAAAGCCCUUUUGUUGGGAAAGAAAAGCAUUCGGUUAAUACCCGGGUGUUCUGACGGUACCCAAAGAAUAAGCACCGGCUAACUUCGUGCCAGCAGCCGCGGUAAUACGAAGGGUGCAAGCGUUACUCGGAAUUACUGGGCGUAAAGCGUGCGUAGGUGGUGGUUUAAGUCCGUUGUGAAAGCCCUGGGCUCAACCUGGGAAUUGCAGUGGAUACUGGAUCACUAGAGUGUGGUAGAGGAUAGUGGAAUUUCCGGUGUAGCAGUGAAAUGCGUAGAGAUCGGAAGGAACAUCUGUGGCGAAGGCGACUAUCUGGGCCAACACUGACACUGAGGCACGAAAGCGUGGGGAGCAAACAGGAUUAGAUA
This 454-nucleotide ribosomal RNA is filed under the name uncultured Lysobacteraceae bacterium. RNAcentral's name for it is "bacterial SSU rRNA". It matches the Rfam family "Bacterial small subunit ribosomal RNA", at positions 338 to 784 of the family's 1533-position model. The record is from RNAcentral. Lineage: Bacteria; Pseudomonadati; Pseudomonadota; Gammaproteobacteria; Lysobacterales; Lysobacteraceae.